UUCUAUUUCUAUUUCUUCUAUUUUUUCUUCUUCUGCUAUUAUCAUUACAUCUAUUACUAUCUCUGUCUCUUUCUAGUACAACAAGAAUUCUUAUUCUUCUUAUUCUUCUUAUUCUUAUUUUUUCUUCUGCUAUUAAUACUAUUACUAUUGCUAUUGCUACUAUUAUUAUUAGUACUAUUAUUACUGUCACUUUGCUCGAUCAUAAAAAAUAGAAAAAAAGAUAUAUAUAAUAAUAAUAAUAAUCAGUGUCAACACACACUCAUGACAAUUAUUCUUCUUUAUUGCUAAUAUACUAUUACUAAUUGCUACUAUUUACUAUUUACUAUUACUACGAUCACACCAACCAGACGACGAAAUUAUUGCAACAACAACAAAAAAGAAAAAAACCAAGCAGAAUCAUAAGAACAACAGCAACAACAAUAACAACUAUUAUCAACUACAACAAGAACAAUAAUCGUGACGAGGACUCUAUCAUACGAGAAGGUAGUUUAUCUCGUGCCGGUUUUAAAAUCUAAAGGAUUACGUACGAAAUCCUGGACUGUUGUUGUUGGUUUUUCGUUGCCGAGAUAAAGAAGUUAAAAAAGAAAAAAAAAGAAAGGAAAAUAAAGAAGAAGAAAUAAGUAAAAAGAUAGUAGAGUGCAGUGCGUAUCAACAAUUUACCUGUUUUCUCUCUUCUCCUCCCCUUGCCACGUCAUGCAUGACCGGUGAAAGUUCGCUUCAACGAGUGCAUUGAUCUACUGAAGUUAAGAGGACAAAAAAAAAGAAAGGAAAAAUCAUAUUACCAAACAGCAUUGGGAUAAUUUCUUUGAAAGAGCACAGAGAAAAACGCAGGUGACGUAAAUCGAGACGGCGGCGUAUCGGCGAGAAAAAGCUUCGAGGAAGCUAAAGGAGGAGGAGGAGAAGGAGAAGGAGAAGGAGGGGGAGGAGGAGGUGGUGGCGGAAGAGGAAAAGGAAGAGGAAGACGUAAAGUGGCGUAAAAGAAGGAAGAGAAGAAGAAGGUCGACUUGGGAUGAACUUUUUCAUAGAAGAAUAAGGAGCAAUAGCAAUAGCAAAAGCAAAAGCAAAAGCAAAAGCGAUAGCACCGGCAAUAACGUCAGCUUGACGAAUAAAAGGUGUUGGUGGACUAGGGGUGGCAGGAGGUGGGGACGGGGGAGAAGGUUGAUGCGGGGGAGGUGGAGAAGAAGAAGAAUAGGAAGGAGGAACACUUGGUGCGUGUUGUUAUUUGUGGAGAUAUCGUCGAUGAGAUAGAAAAUAUGUUAAAGGGAGGAUAUAAAGGGCAGGGAAUUAUUCGAUAGGAAACAAAUAUUAUAUUUAUUAUAUAUGUGAAAUCGUCAUCAUCAUUUUGGUUAGAUAAAAAGUGUUUUUCGAAAUAAUAAUAAUAAUUAACGAAAGUUUAAUAUAAAUAAAUAAGGAAGUGAUUAUAAGGAGUGAUUUCGUUGGGCCUUUUAAAAGGCUGUGAAGAUAUCA
This is a long non-coding RNA of Polistes canadensis, 1467 nucleotides long. RefSeq lists it as uncharacterized. The record is from RefSeq and is a predicted model, not a curated record. The transcript has 4 exons. Lineage: Eukaryota; Metazoa; Arthropoda; Insecta; Hymenoptera; Vespidae.